Molecule: long non-coding RNA, 611 nt
Filed under: Olea europaea subsp. europaea
Lineage: Eukaryota; Viridiplantae; Streptophyta; Magnoliopsida; Lamiales; Oleaceae
Source: RNAcentral
CCCAGAGCUGUUACUCUAUUCUCGCCCAAACCUUCAAGUCGCCCAAGGUAUUAACAAACAUAACGCGUUGUGGUUAUCAAGAAGUGCAGUUAUUAAAGUAGCCCUAUCACGUUCCGCGAUUUAAGGAAUUCAAUCGAAAGCAGUUGAACGAUGAAGGGUAAUGACAGCAGUUAAAAGGCAGUUUUCAUGACAAGGUGGCCAUUACGAAGAAAGUGGGUAGUUAUAGGACGAUCAAGCAGUUUUUAGAGUAGUUAAUCACAAAGAGAUAGUCUAUGAAGUAUAAAAGGGAGAAAGGACAUAGAAGCAAAGGACCGAAUCCAAAACUCUCGAAUAGAGAACUUGUAAUUUUCAUUUCCUUAGUUUUUAGACUUAAACACUUUUCUUUCAGUAACUCGUGUGCUUGUGCCCCUUGGAGGCACGUUGUUUUUCAUUUCCAAUUGUAAAGUCAUCGCCAAUAAAAGAACACCCCUUUUUGGGACUUUGUCUCAAGAGGUUUGUCCCUUACACAAUCGUCUAAUCCUUUUUAAUUGUUAGCGACUAACCCGCGCGAAACAAUUUGACACACCCAGUGGGACAGUGGUGUUAGGUGUUGAAAGUACAAAAGGGGAAAC